Ictalurus punctatus (channel catfish) is the source of this 3057-nucleotide long non-coding RNA. NCBI's taxonomy places the organism in Eukaryota, Metazoa, Chordata, Actinopteri, Siluriformes, Ictaluridae. The record is from Ensembl.
UGACUGACAGGAAGAGUGAAACGAGCUGACUGACAGGAAGAGCGAGGUGAGCUGACUGACAGGAAGAGUAAGGCCAGCUGACUGACAGGAAGAGUGAAACGAGCUGGCUGACAGGAAGAAUGAGGCGAGCUGACUGACAGGAAGAGCGAGGCGAGCUGACUGACAGGAAGAGCGAGGCGAGCUGACUGACAGGAAGAGUGAAACGAGCUGACUGACAGGAAGAGCGAGGCGAGCUGACUGACAGGAAGAGCGAGGCGAGCUGACUGACAGGAAGAGCGAGGCGAGCUGGCUGACAGGAAGAGUGAAACGAGCUGGCUGACAGGAAGAGUGAAACGAGCUGACUGACAGUAAGAGUAAGGUGAGCUAACUGACAGGAAGAGCGAGGCGAGCUGAGCGAGGUGACCAUUCAAGCAAUUGUCGCCCCGAAUUGCCGAAUUCGAAAGCGAAAUUUAAAUGCGCACGAAACGUUUCAAAAGCGAGGGGGGAAAGAAGGAAAAGUGGAAAAAUGCCAAAGCCCCCUUUCACAGCCACUUUCUUCUGGUAAACUCUGCAGAUCUUCUAUUUAUCCAAAAUAUGAGCACACUUCAGAUUUGCUCCUCUUGGAAGGUUGGAAAUUCUCCCGAGCACCGCCACUACCUUCUGCCGUGUUCUCUAACUGACCUAAGUGAUUUUUAUUACUAUAAAAAAGCAAAACGACAGUGGUGGGGGGGUUGCCACGGUGCCGCGGUGCGCAUGUAAUGUAAUCGGCGUGCGGCUGAACACCGUGUGACUCCAGAAACGCCGUCAAUCGCAGUAAGCCUAGUGACAACCAUCCAUCGCUUUAUAGUCAAAUAUAAAACCUGUUUAAAUUAUUUCAGUGUGUAUAUUUUUUUUAUUAUUGUUGUACCAUGAUAAUACUGGUAACUGUGAUAGUUUUGGUCACGAUAAUCGUGAUAUGAUAUUUUCAUACCGUUACCUCAGGUCUAACUGCAGCACAGAUCAGACAGUGAUAGUCCAUGGAUUUGGGUUUAAUCCAAUAAAGCUCUAAUUUAUCUGUAUUGUGAGAAUGAUGUAGGUUUCAGGAUUCAGUUAUAUCAUUCCUGAACCUGGUCCGAACAUAAAUCCAUGAUGUUUAUAGUGUCUGAUGGAGAAGUGAUAAAUCUGGCUGUGACAUUUGUGUAGAGCUAAGAGGAGGAACCCUGGAGGAACCCUGAUCAUCCCCUGAGAUAUGACCUCUGUAUGACCAUUGAUUGACCGUGUACUGAACCUUUGCUAAUGCACUGCCCAGGCAUGUCUUAAACUAGGAACUGUCACUGAGAAUGAAAAUAUAUUUCUGUCAUCGGACACGCCCUGAUGGAUCAUUACGGCGGAUGAGCUGGUGCUGGUGUUCUACUGCGACACUUUCGCAGAUGUAGGUCAUCUUUAUGUGCCUUCAUAAGGCAUUAAUGUUAUAAUUGUUGAUGAAAAUGCAGUACACUUAUAGCUGUGCUUAUUAUGCAUUAUGUAAGGACUAAAACAGUCUGUCAUGCUGUUAUAGGAAAAUCAUCAACAAUAGGGUAGUGUGAUCCAGCAGUUGUGCAGUAUCAUCAUAAUGAACCUUUGUUACAUGAUUCUAAGUUAUUAAGGAAUUACUUACAGCAUGUUAUUAGAGCUUUGCUAGACAUUAUUAGAGUUUAUAAACGAAUGCUUACAAAGAAUUAUAAACAUUGUUCUAUGAUUCCUCCUCCCCUCUUUUAUUUCAUUCUCUUUUGCCCUUUUUUAUCCCUCUAUCUUUAAUCCUCUGAUUACAUUGCCAUAACUGUCUGUGGAUGAUAACUGACACCCACGAGCUCGGCUCCUCCCCCUCCAGCCAUGCGCAAAUCAGAUAGUGGGAGUCUCUCUUGACGGGCAGCUAAUGAAAUUAGCCGCUCAUUCCCCGUGCGCUUUAAUAAGUCACUUGACUCGAUUAGUGGUGCUUGGAGCGGGAUGGGGCACGGGGGGGCGAUGUGGGGAGGAACGGAAGGAGAUACAUCAAUUCAUCUAAAAGUCACCCAGCGGUGCCAAUCAGGGUGUUGAUUGUAAUAAAUAUUCCUUGUCUAUUUGCACAUGUGCUCACCCCCAACCCCCCCACCUCAACCCCACACCACAUGCCGUUUCGAUGCCUCGGGGCAAAAUAUCCAUAAGCCCCAUGCUCAUCCUCAUCACCCUGUCACCUCCGCCCCUUUUCUCUUUCUCUUUCUUUUCCCCUCCCCAGAUCUGAAUCUAGUCGCUGCGCAUUUGCCAAGCGUCAGCCAGACAUUUGGACCGGGUUGGGGGAGAAAAAACAGAGAGUUGUAGGGAAGGGCAUGCCAGCAAUGUGGUGUCAUUAACUUCCCUUGAGUGGCAGCUGUCAGGCUGGCCGAGCUCCACCAUCAUGCUGUUCAGCACUCAGCGUCUCUCCAUCAUCACCUCCUCCUACUCCUCCAGCAACUCCAAAAAAUGGCACAAAGCCUUCGGGUCUCAGCUGCAGGGAGAAUCUCGACUUACGAUACCCCGCUGUUCAGGGCAGCUCUUCUUGGAUCAGUGAGGAGUUAUCCAGGCACGGGCCAAAUCCAUAAACAAUCACAGAUCCCUUCCCAUAGGCCCUUCCUGGAGGGCGCAAAAAGUACAGGCUAAGGGGAGGUAAUCUCUUUGGCUUAGAAGUGAGCGCAGAGCUCUGCUCCAGAUUGGCCACAAGGCUCGAAAAAAGAUAUUGGAUACAAUUUGAUUUUACACUUCCUGGUUGUAAAUCACACAAAAAAUUUACACAUUUUGACCAUCCAAAUCCAUCAGCCAUUACUACUUUUGCAGUGGCGCUACAAGGAAUAGAAAGUUACACCCUACACCGAGGGAAACGAAAUUAUGCAUAGUCGACAAACUGUCCUGGUGGACUCGUGUAGCUGGCUCUCAUCACCGUGGCCCAGGUAAGGGAACCAAUCCCAGUCACUGGAGGGUCACACUUUCAGUGCCGGUCCCAAGCCUAGAAAAUGGGGAGGGUUGCACAGCAGUGCAAGCAGUCUUAAACUUAUGCCAGAAUCAAUAUGUUGGGGGUGUUGGGAACCGGUGAUGAUGGCAGUUGCC